CCUACGGGCAGCAGCAGUGGGGAAUAUUGGACAAUGGGGGCAACCCUGAUCCAGCCAUGCCGCGUGUGUGAAGAAGGCCCUCGGGUUGUAAAGCACUUUCAGUGAGGAAGAACGCCUGGUGGUUAAUACCCAUCAGGAAAGACAUCACUCACAGAAGAAGCACCGGCUAACUCCGUGCCAGCAGCCGCGGUAAUACGGAGGGUGCGAGCGUUAAUCGGAAUUACUGGGCGUAAAGCGCGCGUAGGUGGCUUGAUAAGCCGGUUGUGAAAGCCCCGGGCUCAACCUGGGAACGGCAUCCGGAACUGUCAAGCUAGAGUGCAGGAGAGGAAGGUAGAAUUCCCGGUGUAGCGGUGAAAUGCGUAGAGAUCGGGAGGAAUACCAGUGGCGAAGGCGGCCUUCUGGACUGACACUGACACUGAGGUGCGAAAGCGUGGGUAGCAAACAGGAUUAGAUACCCUUGUAGUC
This 465-nucleotide ribosomal RNA is filed under the name Vreelandella stevensii. Its description in RNAcentral is "partial 16S ribosomal RNA". It matches the Rfam family "Bacterial small subunit ribosomal RNA", at positions 338 to 795 of the family's 1533-position model. Lineage: Bacteria; Pseudomonadati; Pseudomonadota; Gammaproteobacteria; Oceanospirillales; Halomonadaceae. The record is from RNAcentral.